AAAUUUAAUCUUUUCUCUCGUAUAUUAUCGGAAAUAAGGUCCGAAAGUCUCUACCUACUCACCGUAAAUGAGUAGACUACGGGUGGCAAU
RNAcentral lists this non-coding RNA (90 nucleotides) under Turicibacter bilis. Its description in RNAcentral is "Purine riboswitch aptamer". It matches the Rfam family "Purine riboswitch aptamer", at positions 4 to 93 of the family's 102-position model. From Rfam's summary of the family: Riboswitches are metabolite binding domains within certain messenger RNAs that serve as precision sensors for their corresponding targets. Allosteric rearrangement of mRNA structure is mediated by ligand binding, and this results in modulation of gene expression. Lineage: Bacteria; Bacillati; Bacillota; Erysipelotrichia; Erysipelotrichales; Turicibacteraceae. RNAcentral also lists the same sequence under 1 other name. The record is from RNAcentral.